UUCUUUUAUUCUUAUACAUCCCGCCCAAACACUCAGCCCAACCUUGGUCGGCUAAACAUUCAUUUUUGAAAUCAAUAGACUUUUCCGGUCAGGAGUGGGGGGUUACAAAGUGGAACGAUCUACUCCGCGCUUUCUCCUGUACCAUCUUAUUGUUCUUCUUCAGGAAUCCGCUCUAAAGACCCGCUACCGAUGAGGGGCUGGUUCUCUUUUGUGACAGCAUGGGUUGGAUAGCUCACCGAUCAUGGGAGAGACUCCCUGGACAUUUGGCAUUGGUUCUGAUCAACGAGGAGGGAGAUUGAGAAAAGUUAUCUCUCAUCGGACCGACGUUAAACCCUUGGAAGAGAUUGCGGGACAAUCUCUGGGGGCUACGGAAGAAAAAUCUACUCACUUCUUCCUUGAAGAGUCAAAAAGCGAAAGAGGCUGUAGUUACUUAGCUGUACUUAGAGGGAAACCCCCCAGCUUCUUAGAGGCUUGGGACAACGGUUGAGGGCUCAGAGUACCUGAUAGCCCCGCUAGGCUGGGCAAGGGAAGGAGCACCGGGCCUACCUUUACUCGAGUUCUCCUGAGUAAUAGCGGGACGCUUCGACGGCUAAGAAGUACAAAAGGCAAGUAAGGACAGUAGUACUGAGCUACGGAUAUGCUUCUCGAAAGAAAAAGCACUUUCUCUAUCGCUUCAUGAGCUUCGCUUUAGGGAUGGGAUACUUCAUAAUGGAUGGAAAGUCUUCCACGCGGUCCUUUCUGUACCUCCGCUAGGGAAUUUCUUGUCUUUCUUAUUUCUAUUUCUUUGGGGGAUAGAGACUAAGAAAUGAACCCGCAUCUAUCGAUUUCAAGAGGAAAGGCUGAAGGCGAGAACCUGUACCCUUCCCCACCAUCUUCUGCUUCUUCCGGCCAAGCAAAGGAUUCAAGCUAUGAGGAACUCGCCAAUGACUUUGAUUUCCACCCUUGCCGGGGAAGAAAUGCUUCACUUUCGUUCCUUGGUCCCGAUCGGCCGUUACCAGUAGCAGUAGAUUACCUAACUACAGGACCCGAGUCAUCUUCUUCCCAUCCCAGUGGCUAGGCACCCGCCAAGAAAUGCCUUGUGCCUUUCCCAUCCAUUAGCAGUUGGAAGAGCGGAACUGGGACAUCUACGCCUGGAACCGCAAGUCAAGCCCUAAAGUAAGGUAAGUCCAUCUAUUUCCGACUAUCGAUCUCACUCCAGCCGAGUCCAAUCCGAAUCAAUCAAUUUCAUCUGGUGCUGGCUAAUCAUCUCAAUCUCUUGGGUCCGUGACAAGGACCGGUUUGGUACUUAAAUAAAGGAAUCAGCGACUUCCCAUCCCCUGCUUCUAAGCGUCUACCGGACGGGGAUUCCUAUGCCCCCAAGUCUUCAUCCUUUCCAGUUGGUGAAGCGGAGGAAAGAACGAGGUUUCCCGGUGGAAGGAACGAAAGUGAAGCAAGUGAUCCCCGGAACUCCUUCGAACCAAACUCUCAAUCUCUAGUGCUUGGCCAGCUCCACCAUCUACUCUAUCUCCCUCUCCCGAUUGACCUUCCCGGGGCGGAGACGGGGAACCAAACGAAGCGAGUGAUUCAACAAAGGAACUUCCCACUCGCUCCGUCACCCUCCCCUUCUCAUUCUCCAUCAAACUAUCCUGCCAAUUUAGCCAAAUCCAUCUCGUGCCUCUAAUGGCCAUGGAAGCCCAUGGGCUGCACCUAAACUCUCAGAUCCAAGUCAUGCUGGCCCAGCCAAGCGCUAGCAAGCGGUAGGGGGGCCAUGGGAGCAAGUAAACCAAUGGAGGCCCCAUUUUCCUCUCUUUCCGAGCCCACCGGUGGCGAAGAAGCGUGAACAGGCCCAUUAGGGGGGAGGUAGGAAGCAUCGGACUAAAGGUCUCCUUUAAGUCGAUCCUCUCCCUCAACAUCUGGACUCGAGUCGAGCCGGAACCAUAAAGAGAUUCUUUUGCACCUGUCCCACCGGCAUCUUCCUCUCCGUAUCCAAAUGCUUCUUAUACUGGCCGGCUAAGCUAACGAGAAGCCUCAAUCAGGGUUCCGAAACGAGAAAAUUCAUCCUCUGCUCGCCUCCCAGCCAAUACUGGAUACAAUGAGUUAUUGCAAUGCUGGGCCAUCAAUAAAGGAAUUUGAGGAAGGUGGAGCAAGUCGAUACCAUUCUCAAUCUUCCGAAGUAGCAGCAAGCGAACCUGGGGAAUGCAUGCACUCCAAGUCCUCAUCUCUUCUUUCUGCAUCCGGUCGGAUGGAAGGAAGGGGAGCUCCAUUGGCCAAGUAUUAUUCUACACUGGCUGACCCCAGCUCACUAAUAAUAAGUAAGAGUAAGGAAUGCCCGGACCCACGGGAUCUAAUGCUGGACCAAGACGAUUAACGGAAGCUUAAUGAAAGGAAGAGGGAGAAGUGGUCCCGGGACCGGAUAGAGGCGAAUAAGAAUCCAAUUCCUUGCCACCAAAGGCACUCACCUCCCUAGAAAGUUCCCCCAUCUUUCUUGGUAAGCCCUGAACUUCGAAACUGAGCUUCGGAAAGAGGGGAGAGCGAACGAGCGGAAUGUGUAAUACUUGGAACGAGUCAAUAAAUAGAACGAGUAGAGCUAGAGUUACUUAAGUGCGAAAGGGAAUGAGUCGUAGCUGCACUUGAAGCAAGGAAGGGAAUGAAGAUGGCAUAGAAUGCCCUGUUUUCAGGAAUAGAAUGCGCUGUGGCACUUUCGGAAUAGUAGAGUACUUAAGAGUGAUUGACUGAUCAUAGCACUACUUCUCAGAGAUAGCGUUAACGGAUCAAUUUGAUUUCAUAGUGCUACGGUUCGUUCGCAUGAAGAAAGGAAGGUGCGUCUGGUCGGUUUCCCUUAACAAGGGGGGCAGCACUCACAGGUUAUGAGCCUUGCGAGCUGACCUAACUGCUCUACUCCGCGCAUCUUUUCCUAGUCUUUUUCAAUCUAUCAUGAAAGCUCUUUCUCCUUUUUCUGGUGGAAACCGUACUCCACGAAUGUGGUUUAUACGCGAAAGCUGGCGCUUGGAUCUUUACAUGAUAAGCGAACCUUCGCAUCUUUUGUUCCAACUUCUUCCUUUGCAGCAAUCACUAGAUCUUCCUUCUCAGAUGCGUGGGUCAGCAAGCCCAAGCCUUUGUUGUAGUUUCAGUCAAAAUCUGACUAUUAAAAUAAGGAAUUUGUGAUCCUGACUCGCGCAGCAUCCCGAUCGCGGUGAAGUCACUCAUGAAAUUCCCCAAAAGACGAGAUUAAAGUGUGAUUCUAGCGCAUUCACAAAAGCUUUUUUCAGGGAGCAAAGCAAUUCCUUCGGUGGUAAACAAUUCCUUUUCAGGAUUGGCAGUUCUUGGUUCAUAGAUCCAGGGGAAGCCCUCUAAAUCGAUUAAUCCCGAGUAUUGAUUGUGGGACAUGGAAUACUUCUUUUGUCUGGGCAUAUUCCUGUUCAUAAAGUCUUUGUUUCGACCCCGGGUUCACUUUACGCAAGUUUUCCUGCUUAGACAUCGACCAUACAGCAUUUGACUUACCUCGUGGAAGUUGAUUAAUCUCUUUCUAUCCCGAUAUCAUGAUAUUUAGAUCACCUUGAGAAGGAAAAUCCUAAAGUUGGUGAGAGAACGAAAACAAGGUCUUUCUCGACGACUUGGGAUGAAUCGAUGGACUCCGGGAAGCUUCGUUCCUACAUUCUGCUCUCAAAGGCAUUCCAUUUUGUGUAUUUUAUACAGUUGGCUGGGAAAACAACAAGAAGGGGCUAAGAUCCUCGUUGACAACAUGAAUUCGUACGCAAGAUACCGAAUUGGAUCCCUAAUUCAUAGAUGGGAAUUGAUGAAUCAAAGAAGCAGUAGGAAUGGGUCAAUGACACUCCCUCCCGAUGCUUUGCCAGAAGCUCGUUUUCCAACAGAAAGAUGAAACUCCAUCCCCGGACCCGAAAGGGGGCGUCUCGAUCUAAACCACCUUUGUCUACCAAGAAUCGAUACAUCGAGAAGGUAGCAUGUCGAACUAUAAUGCCCUAAUUGAGGAAGGGUGCUAAUCCUACCUUGAUUGUUCUUCGCAGACCGGCCAUGUGAUCUCCUUUCCCAGGUCUUAUUGCCGAACUGGUUCUCCCAUCUGAUAUUGUAAUUACAGGUAGAGCCUCAAAAUAGGCAAUUAAUUGACCCGUUGACGGACAACUUUAUCCUUCGCCGGUUGUUUCGAAAGCUAAGCUAAUUCGCUUCUAGUUCUGUAGCUAGAGCUGGGAAAAUCCCUCGGCGAGGCAUAGAAAAUAAGGGGAAUCUUCCUCAUCUUUGAAGUGGGAAUGCUCAAAUAGAGAGUCCAAAUCAUAAUAUGUGAAAGCUUCCCCGCUCGAUGCUUUGUUGCGGUAAGAAGGAAGGGAUUACUUGCUAGGAUCAAAGGCUGUCUUUGAAGGAAGCAUGCCCGCCGUACCUCUACUCAGUAAUGCAAUUGAAGCUAAGUCCACGGGCGUAAGAUAAGUCUACCACUGCAGGGUUUGAUCUGUCUAAAGGUGAGAAUCCCAAUGCCGCAUAUCGAUUAACUGCAGGUUAGGAAUCUGACUUUGAUCUCCCACUUUCAGUAAGGGAUGAGCGUACGACAAGCCUUGCAGCUAACUAAUGAACUCGACUCUCGCUUCCUAUAGUACUGCCCUCGGGCUCGGAAGUUAGCUACUUAUUAUGGAAUGACAUAUAUAAUUAUGUUGGUAGCUAUCUGCCGAAGAUGUAAGCUUUUUCUUAUUAGAUAGCUUGCAUGUGUAGAGGAUGUAGUGUGGAUAGUUUGGCUGACUACCCUGCCUGCUCUGUGGUCUCGGAGAUAGCCAUGCUAGCGAUUACAAUGGCCUCUGUAUCAGCCUUACCAGCUGCUAUGGAGGAAGUCACUGAUAGCUCUGAUUCUUUCGGAUUGGCUAACUGACUGGAUUGGAACUAUGCUUUGAUCGGGAGGCACCCUCAGCUCCUGGAUACAUAGGCCUUCUGCAUCCUUAUCGCCCUGGGAUAGUGAAGAAAAAAAACCUGACUUUUGUCCAAUGGGUCGGAUUCAGUCUAGCUGCUGGAUGACAUGAAGGAUGUCGCACUUAUCUGUUAGGAGUCGGAUAAGUUAAGUAGGUACGCGAAGAUACCGAAACGAAUUAGCCACUCCUUUUCUCAAUGGCCACCGAAAGGAUAUGCAGGAACAUAGGCUUACAAGAGAAUCUUCGUCCCCCUUCCGUUCCUCCUUCUAGUCUACCUACGUCAUUAUUUCUUUUGAAGCAGGAAAGAUUCUUGUUCCCGAAAGGUAAUGAAGUAAGCCUCGGGUGAGGUGCACUAAUAAGUGGCGGAUUCUAUUCUCUUGUCGGCUUUCUUUGAUGAAAGAAUGAAACUAGUGGCAUUACCGGCAUCUGAGAACUUAGCCCUUAUUUGAACCCAGGACUGAAAAGGCUAGCUUUGAAUCACCUUACCUAGUCAAAUCGCAGCUGAAAGAAACUCCUUCUCGGAAAAGGCGCUAAUUUAAGUAGAGGAGAGCGUGCGGGUGUGGAAGGAGAGGUCGAUCGCUUUCUUUACCUGACUUCUCUGUCGGAGUGGCCAGAACCUACUCAAUCUCCUGGUUCAUCUUCUUCGGCAUUUCUUUCAUAUCACGACUUUCCCGACUCACCGGAAUCUCAUCGAACCUAAAGCUACAAAAAACAGCGCACCAAAGCGGAUUGCCGAUCUUCUUGGCGAUACAACUUAGGCUCUUCCUUCCCCAAAGGCAAAUCCCUCAACUUAACCCUAAAAGGAAAAGGGAUUCAUUGUAUAUCAUCCUUCCCAUCCAGACAAAGUUUUCCUCUUCCAUUCUUUCAGAACUAACAACCUCCCAUUCAAAAACAUGGUCCUCCCUCCAUUAUUCUCUGACGGUCUUACAAGAGAAUGAAGUUGAACACAAAGAACCCAUUAUCCAGCGAGAACAAUUGGACCUCCCCUUUACAUCUCAAAGCGAAGGCAAAAAAUUUCUUCAAGAAGCUAUACGCCGGCCUCUUACCGACGCAAUAAUCGACUAACACUUGUUGAGAGUUAGUAUUGAUUCAUCCAAAGUAGCUCCUCCGACGGCUGGAGUAAGGAAUUGUCCAUCUCACCGCCCUGAAGAGCAGUGGCUCUGUUGUUUUGCACGCCGACAGAGAGAGACUCCAAACGACGCUCAAUCGAAAGAAAGAGCAAUCCACUAUAUGCUUCACUCAUGCCCCAGGAAUCCCUAGAAACAGGGGUUACGGGCUAAUCUAAUAAGUAGUAGUCCCUCAGAAGGAAAGGCUAUAAGUAGUAUUGCUUGCUAUACGAGCUGUUUUCCUUUAUACGGCUUGCUUGGCCUAUAGAGUUUGUCUUUCCUUCAUUCGAAACUAGAGAAAGAAGCGUGAAGGCCUUCUAUGAACAUGAACUGAUUGCUUCUACUACUCUAGUAUUUAGUCUUAGAAUUUACUAAGACCUAGAAGAACUUUCGAUAAAUGGCCUUUUUUUCAUAUGUGUGUAAGUAUGCAUGACCGCUCUUGUAUAAAAAGGCGGGUAAGGGCUGGCGCAUAGGAGCGGGCUGGCUGUUCAUGAGGGGGAGGCACCAUCACUUUGUCUCGAAGGCAGGUUAAGUUAAGUGUCAAGUCAGGGUAGUGCAUUAAGGAGCUGCAACUAUCGCAUCAGCUAGAGCGGCAUUAGGCAUUGGAAAGGUGCUUAAUUUCAUUCCAAGAGCGAUUUCCCGCUUUCAGAGCGGGAGAGGGAAAGCAAGAUGAUCGACCGGCUACAGGAGUUGCAGAGUCUCUCUAACUUUCUGUGAUCACUAUACGGUGAUUGUUUUAUGGGGAUUUUGAGGGUUUACAACUCCUUAGAACUCUCUUCAAGUGGAAGGCAGGGGAGAUCAAAUGGAAUAGAGAACUCUUCAUACUAUUCCAUUAUGCGCUUCCCCCUUCAAGAGCUAAGCUACUAGACUAAAUUAGUUUAUAGCGUCUGUCUCGUAUGGGACAUAUCUAGUCUUUCCCAGAAUAGAUUACUUCAUUCUGACUUUUUCAUAGCAGGCAAUCAGUGCGAAAGGGCUCUCUCAUCUGCUAUUUGUACCAGAAGACGAAAGCAAGGAAUUCUAGACUUCCGAGACGAUAGGAGCGAGGCUGAGCGUUAUAAGGCGGCUAAGGCAAUCAGUUCAUCUCUUUCUGAAAUCGAUCUCCCUUCGUCUGGCUUAGCUCAUGGAAUAGUAGCUCUUCCGCUAUAGUAGCUGUGAAAAGCCCUGUUUUGCCCGCUAACCUCUUGCUUAGUAAGACCCUCUUUCUGAGCCUUCCCCUCCUCCUUUUGAGUCAUCUUGGAUGAGAAGACAGAGACCGACUUCAUCGACUUUCAAUGUCCGUGUGGAAUGCAAGUUGCUCGCUGAAGUGGAGGCGCUUUCCGCUGGGGCGGACCAUUCUUGUGAGAACGAGGGCUGAUCCAAUCCGGGGUCUCUCUUGAACCAGCCAACUCUAUAGGGAAGACGACUAGCUAGAUGGUCUUUGAGUCAGAAUUUGAACUUGUUGACGCCUCUGGGAAAAAGUCCCACCAUAAUAUACAUCCAAUAUAGAGUGCUGGUCAAUUUUUCUGCAGAGCUUCUACUAUGGGCUGCUCCUGCCCAGAGACCACCAGAUUCUCCUCUCCUGUUCUAUCCUAAUUCUCCUUUUCGCCUUUAUUAGUAUUAAGUAUUAGUGGCCCCCCCGUGCUUUCCCUCUGAAUAUUUGGUAUUCCCCUUUCGGGUGAUUUAAGCAUUUCGUAUUUGGGUUUCACUGGGCUACUUUCAAGGGUUCCUAUUUUCGUUUUUAGCAAUUUUUCCCCUUUUGCUUCUCUUGCGUGACUUAACUGACUUUUUAUUACCUCAGUAAAUUCCAUUUUCUUUUCCUCCCCAAAAGAGCUAAGAAGCUAUAGGAAUUCUUUCCUUAUUUCGCUAAUCGGUUGUUAGCUGCUACUAUCCGCUGGAAUGAAUCCUCCUAUCUGUAUGUCCUACUCCGGAUAUAUAAAGUAUCGUAUAAAAAGUAUAGUAUAGCUUCUUUCUUUCGCAUAUCCGCUUUCAAGCUUCAGUUAUAAAGUAAUGAAUAGGUUCUUUGCUUUAGUCGCAAAUGAGUUGUGGCGCUGUGAGAAGUGAUCGUGGUAGCUAGCUCGUGUGGUGGGAAUAUCAAUCGAACCUAAACGUUCUUCCGUUGGCCGUUGGUCGGCUCUCUCCCAUAGGCCUUGCUUUGGCCCUUCCCCCGGCUCUACGCUCCUCUGGGUUAUGGGUUGGCUCCCGCUUGAUGCCCAAAAACACGAGAAACGAUAAAUGCUACAUCCCCGCUUCCUCCUUGCCUUUCAGGCGUAACGUAAGGAAGAACCCACAGUAGCUCUAACGAAGCUAGAAACAGAGACACCGUUUCCACAGCGAGAGAUGCGAAGAACGACUGGUUGGAUAGCUUUUGCUAAUAUUGGUUUACGAAUAAUGGUUUACGAAGCAAGUGCAGCUGUGUUAAACGAAUUCCCGGCAUUUCGCGGAGAUUGGCUUGGGCCAUUGGAUUGACCCGGUACCAGCCAGUGUAGGGGAAUACCUCCUGUGUCUCUUCCAUGAACCCCACGAACCUAACCAUCAGAGAGGUUUGGAGAUGCUCUACCGGGAAGAAGGGCUAUGGAAUCCUCGCUUUACCGAGUUUACGAAGUUAAGGAGCCUUCCCCUCGUACUUGCAUUCUUUCUUUCGAUCUUUCUAACUGAUUACCUUUCAUCCGAGAAACGAUGGCUUCUCGCUUGACUUGACUCACCUUCGUACUUCUUUUUGUUAGGCUUACCCCGUUAGGGUUAACUCCUCUCACAACGUUCGACUUGCCAUACAUAUUAGUUAGUGCCAGCGCAGAAAAAUAUGAUAUGCCGGACAUCUCAAUUGGACAUGUUUCCUUCUUCUCGGGUUUGUUGGCUUAAAUGCCGGUCAAAGACCUCACUAUCCACAAAAAGAAAAGGAUAGUUGAUAGCUACGAUAUCCGAAUACAAUCAAUUCCCUUGGUUACGAUUACCUACACAACUCUCGCUUUACAACUGCUACACUGGCUGUGUCUUGCCCUGGCCGGCUAUGACUUGCUACUUGACUCUCCUAUCGCUUUACCUUUUGGUUAACUAACCUUGGUACUUCUUACCUCUGGGCGCUAUUAGGCUUAUACGAUUUCCUGCAAUUGACGAAGAAAACCCCGGGAAAAUGGGCAUAUCGAGCUACUUCGUUCCUCUAUAAAUAGUCUUGCUACUUCCCUUGCGUUGGGCGAGCUGCACUACGCUACGUCCUUCCUUUUGCUUUUACCUUACCCUAUCGGUCUUGCUAUCCAAAGCCAUCCCCUCUCUGACUUUAUCGAUUCUGUGGUCUACCCGCUCACAGGCCGGGCUGGCCAACAACCAUUCUUUCGUCUCCUACUCUAAACCGUAUCCCCUCGCAUUCCUGGAAGAAGGUAUUACACCAGGCCAAUCCUCGCUCCCCAAGCUGGGAACAAGAGACAAGAAAUUAGGGUCCAAUCAGUCAAGACGAGCAGAUAGAGCAAGUGAGACUGAGAACACGGACGUGGACCAAUCACAUGGAUUCUUUUGAGCCCUACCGUUUGACAACUCUCUCUCAUUAUGUAAUGGAAUCUCUUCUGAGAGGUGAUCCCUUCGAAAAAGGGAGCUCAAAAGUCAAUGAGAAUCUCGAUGGAGCUUGACCGGUCAGACAAAAACACAAGCUUUCUCCACUUUGGAGCCGUGAAAAAGCCCCCAGUUUGAGACCUUGAGUAGGGCAAUUCAGCCAGAGAAAGAAGGGAUUGACUGAAUGAGUCAAAGGUUUUACAGACCUCGCCCAAAAGGAGAGGUCUGUAAAACCCAAUUACACUGGGCCACAGGACAGGGGUUGCCCAUGAUCUUUUCAGCGAUGUCAUAGGCCGACUUGGAGGUAAAGUCACCACUAGCAGAGUGAGCCCAAGCCCACGAGUCCUGACCCUGAGCAAACCUUUGGGCAGGGGCAGCCUUGAUUAACCCAAUAAGGUGGUCAGGUAACGAAAAGGACAGCUUGUGUAAGGCCCACGGCCCAUUGGUCUCACGGAGAUUGGACACAGAAAGGGAAAACUCUUCCUGGGUAAGAGGUCCAGCAAUGAGGUUUCUAAGCGGACCAGGGUCUUAAUUCAAGGUUUCGAAGGGUCCUUGGACACUCUCAUGAAUUUAAUAAUGAGAGGAAAAGAAGUCUUAAAUUACCCUCUGUCCAUGAAAAGCCUUACCGUAAGGACGAAGGUAAUGCAACGUUUGGCUUGGGAAGAGAAGAGCUCAAAAGGCUCAAGCUAGUGAAGUUGCAUGGCUGUGGCAUAGAAGAUUGGGUCGUUGCAACUUGCAUAGUCUCAAACUUCUUUCUCAAAGGCAAAUGGUAAAAGAUCUGCCUGCCAUUGGAGAAUGCAGUGGAGUGUGUGAAGGGUGUCAACUUUUCAAGAUGGCUAGACAAUCCUUCCCAUCUGGCACAGCCAGGAGAGCUUCACAUAAGCUGGAACUGGUGCAUACUGACGUCUGUGGUCCCAUGAGGACUCCCUCUCUUGACAACAGCAAGUACUUCAUCCUAUUUAUUGAUGACUUCUCAAGAAUGACUUGGGUGUACUUCUUGAAAGAAAGAUCUGAAGUUUUCAGUGUGUUCAAAAAAUGAAAGAAUGCAGCUGAGAAGCAAAGUGGCUGUCAACUCAAAGCCUUAAGGAGUGACAGAGGCAAGGAGUAUACUUCCAAGGAGUUUAGUUUUGUGAUGAUGAAGGUGUACAUCACCAGCUUACUGUUGGCUAUGCCCCUGAGCAAAAUGGGGUGGCUGAAAGAAAAAACAGAUCUGUUAUGGAAAUGGCUAGAGCUAUGUUGCAUGAAAAAGGCCUUCCUAACAAGUUCUGGGCAGAAGCUGUCUAUACGGCAGUGUAUCUGCAGAACAGAAUUGCCACUAAAGCAGGCACAGGCAAAACUCUCUUUUUGGCUUUUCACUGAAACUAAGACGCUUAAACAUAAGGUAGGUGCUUUCACUCCGCUUUUUAGUUCGACAUUCCCUUUCGCUUCCGGAAAAGCGCAGUAGUCAAAGUAGUUCAAGUCAGUGCUUUCCUUCCGGGCGAAGGGAGAAGGCACCACCUACUACAACUCAAGCUAUAGAGAGAUCAAAUCACUCUUUCUCUUCCGGGUACAGGCUUAGAUAAAAAUCCUUCUUGUGUGGGUUUCCUUGACCAGGUUGGGUAUAUCUCGCCUCCUUCCCGCUUUUCAUCGGAGGAUUACUAUUACUAUAUAAUAGUAGGAGGUGGCACUGCCGGUUGUCCCUUGGCCGCCGCCUUGUCACAGUCCUAUCGAGUUCUUGUGCUUUUUCGAGAUGGCGUUCCCUAUGGCAAUCCCAAUUUGAUAACCCAAGAAGGAUUCUUGGCCACACUCACUAAGGUUGAUACAUUUGACUCCCCUGCCCAAGCCUUCACAUCCGAGGAUGGGGUCCCCAACGCCAGAGGACGCAUUCUUGGUGGCAGCAGUGCCAUAAAUGCCGGCUUUUACAGCAAAGCAGACCGGGAAUUCUAUCAGAAAUCGGGUGUCAAUUGGGGCCUGAGAGUUGUGAACGAGUCGUACGAGUGGGUUGAGAAGGCAGUUGUGUUUAGGCCGGAGCUUAGGAACUGGCAAUCAUCGGUUAGAGAUGGGUUGUUGGAGGCUGGGGUUAAUCCGUAUAACGGGUUUAGUUUGGAACAUUUGGUAGGCACUAAGAUUGGUGGCUCGACUUUUGAUGGUUCGGGGAGGAAGUGCAGCCGAUCUGCUCAAUUAUGCAAAUCCUGUGAAUAUUCAAGUUGCUGUGUAUGCAAGUGUGGAAAGAGUACUAUUGGCAUCUACUUCGAAGCCUUCGAGGUCUAGGCUAUCCGAAAUCGGGGUGGUUUACCGGGAUCAGAUAGGAGGGUAUCACCACGCAAUGGUAGUGGAAAAUGUCGAGGUCUUGCUAUCUGCUGGUGCCAUUGGAAGUCCACAGUUACUACUGUUGAGUGGCAUUGGUCCUAGGCCUUAUCUAUCAUCUUGGGGGAUUCCGGUGGCAUAUCAUCUUCCAUAUGUGGGGCAGUACCUCUAUGACAAUCCUCGGAACGGUAUCUCGAUUGUACCGCCAAUGCCACUGGAGCACUCAUUGAUAUAGGUGGUUGGCAUAACUGGGGUGGGGGCUUAUGUUGAAGCUGCUUCCAAUGUUAUCCCUUUCGCAUCCCCUCCUCGUUCUGUUUUUGUUUUCAUUAGGACACCAUCUUCACCUCUGUAUCUCACAGUUUCCACCCUUAUGGAGAGAAUUUCUGGGCGGCUCUCAACUGGCUCACUGAGGUUGGCUUCGACAGAUGUCAAAGUGAAUCCGAUUGUUCGAAAAAAUGACUUUUCCAACCCCGUGGAUGUAGAAAAGUGUGUGAAUGGCACACACAAGAUUGGGGAUGUGCUGAAGAGCCGUUCCAUGGAGGACUUCAUGUUCCGUGAAUGGUUUAGAGCUCGAAAUUUCAGGUUCGUCGGGCCUACAUUGCCUGUUGACUAGUCUGACUAUGUGCAGAUGGCUGAUUUUGUCGCCGAACCGUUAGCACCAUAUGGCGUUACCAUGGGAGCUGUGUUGUAGGGAAAGUGGUUGAUCGUGAUUACCGUGUUAUUGGUAUUGGUUCACUUCGAGUUGUCGAUGGCUCAACAUUUACCGUAUCGCCAGGAACCUAUCCUCAGGCUGCUCUUUUCUUUUGAAGCUUGGACGUUAAAUGUUUGUUGUUAUCUGAAUGCUAUAGUUUGCAGGAAAUACGAAUUCGGCUGUUUUAAGAAAACGAACUUUCUGACUUUCUGAUUCUGUUCCAGCUCUUUUUCAGGUCCGGGCAUUAGCCAGUCAGUCUUGUACAGGUCCUAUAGUGAAGUGAGGUACUCGCUCUUAUUCUAGGAUAGUAUUAGGAAUGAAUGGAAAGCGCCACCCGUUCACUUAACUAUCUUACUUGAAUGAAGAAAGACAGAACUCUUCUUUAUAUACCUAAUUGUUAGUUAUAGUUACCAGGCUUGCCACCUUGUUCUCAUUAUAGAAGCCACUUAUUCUACGAUGCAACACAGUGGAAUUAGGCUUUUUCCAGAGGAAACUCCUAGUAGGGUAGGUUACUUCACUUCCUUUCUCUCGGCUAAAUAGAGUAAGAUCCAAAGAAUGCCUGAGCUGACUUAAUUUCAUGCCAAACCCAACAAGAAGAGGUGAGUACGCGAUUGCUGUUCAAAGAAGACAGGCAGUCUGAUACAAUAUUGCUUUGGUAUCUUUCGCCUCUAUUUUGUUUCUUUUUUGGGGAUUUGACAUAGGGGACCAGAAAAAUCUUUCUUUGAAUUUUUCAUCAUUCUAUGUAUUCAUGGAAUAAGUGAUGAUCCAAUGGUUCUUACUCAGAGAAUCUUUUAUUUAGCUUAGGGUUUUUUAUUGAAUUAUCGUGAUUCUAGUAUGAAUCUGAGGUUUUAAUCGAUUCAAUUGGUCUUAACAAGAGAAUUCCUAUCAAUAAUAAAGAAAAGAAAUAAUAAAAACUACAUUACAAAAAACAAAAUUCCAGAAAGAAAUAGGGAUCGAAAGGAUUCAAGAGGCCUGUAGAGAAGAAACAUUUAUCCAAAAGAUGUAUUACUUACUACUACAUAAACAACCACAUAUGCCUUUACUAGAGGCUUUAAAAGCAUUAUGCUAACUACAUUAUUUAUUUUGAAACUGGAAUAAGUCAAAGGAUAGGCCUGAACAAGUAGACAGAAGAGAAAGUAAAAACGACUUUUUUUGAAUUUCUUCUAGUCUUCCCGGUCACCGAGGGUGACAGCCUGCACAAUGAGUGCUUGCUGCUCCUCCCGCAGCACUUGCAGCCUCCUCUCCAAAUCCCUUAUGUUCUCUCUGGAAGCGCGAAUGCGUUCUUCUGCCGCUGCAGAGUCUCGGGCUCGAAGAUUCCUCAAAAACAGGUUGAGAGUUCUACGGCGCUCUUGAAUUUCAUUUCUCAGUUGCCCCAUUUCUGCAUCAAUUUCAGCAAGCCUGUUUGCAGCAUCCAUAGCCAUACGUGCUAUUACUAAAUUUCUUUGAUUUGAAUUUGAUGAAGCCACUUAUCGAGCCUCCAUUUAUAGAGUGGUAGAGUAAUCUCGCCAUGCGUCACCGAAUUUGAUGGCAGGCACAAUUCUUACUAGUUCUCCGCACUACUUUUCUGCAGUUGAAUACUAUCAUGCCUAUUUAAUGAAAAACUGGCUGGCUCUGGCUUCCUUGCGGAGCAAACAAAAUAUCCCCGAAUCACAUUGCCUGUCUGAACUAACAAACUUUGUACAACCAGCUUACGUAGAAAAUAUUCUAUGCCAAUAGACUCGUGACAUCCAUGUACUGAGUCGUCAAAUGAGCCACGUUAAGAAAGCCCAAGCUUAUACGCAUUGGCCCACAGGGUGUCCCAAGAGAAGAGGGCCCGAAUGAAAAACCCAAGCCUACAUGGACCAUCAAAGAAAGUCCUACAAAUAAAGACUUGGGCCUGUCAAGCCUGCUUUCCUCGUCUCGAUGAAAGCCCACAGAAGGGCCGAAGCACAACAAGCCUACCCAUAAUCAAAGCAAGCCCAAGCCCAUGCAAGAAGGAUCUCAUUGUCAUGGAAGCCCUUUCCUUACUCCUCAAUAUAGUCUAUGAGGACGUCUUUCUGACCAACUCUCAUGGCUUUAGGAAGGGGGGAGGACCCAUUACCUUCUUCGCGCAUGUUGAUAGUUGGGGGACAGUAGAUCGAUUUAUCAAAGCAGACAUUGUUGGUUGUUUUGAUAACAUUGAUCACACUCUUCUAAAUAGAAGAAUUGGUUUAGAUAUGGGUGAGAGCAGUGAGGGCUUUUGUAACUCCAUUUUUCAGCUUUAUAAAAGACGGAAAUAAGAGAUAAAGAAGGUAAGACUUUUGGCUCUUGUAUAAAAGGGAUCCCUCAGGGCAGUCCGUUGUCUCCCGUCUUAAUGAACAUCUUUCUUCACCAACUUGAUGUGAAGAUGCAAGACUUUAUGAGUAAAGAAGCGAGAAUUAGGUAUGUGCGCUACGCUGACGAUAUAGCUUUUGCUAUUAAGGAAGGAGCCAACUCAGAAAUGGUAAGCCAAAGGUUCAAGCAAUUCUUUAAUGAGGCCUUGACUAAGCUCAAACUGGAAGCAACUAGUUUGGAGCUCGUUCGAGGAAUAAGCAAGCCAUGCUCUACCUUAGUUCUCGGAGUCCUAAUAUCAAUUCGUCCGGACAGAAACUUGGAGUUAAGGGCACCCAUUAAUAGGUUCAAAAAAAAAUCUUUCAAUCAAUCGACAACGACAUAAGGAAGAUACAAGGCAAACGCGUAAAACACUUUGAGAGAGCGCUCCUUCCCCGAGUAUUCCAGUAUCUCGCUCUCUAUUCGUGUUGUUGCAAUGCUAACGAGAUACUAGCUUUUCUACAGAAUUCGUACAUUCAAAAGUACAAGUUGUAUCUUCAACUACAUAAGAAGAAAAAGCCCAAGGGGAAAGGCGAAACCGAAAACCUCCUCAACUUAAGAAGUAUCAAUACGCGCUUAAAGCAUUUCCAACUAUAAUUGCGUAAGAGAAAGGAAUUCAUUGACUUCGAACAACAAAAAGGAGGUCAAUGAGCACUAACUCUCUUCUCUGACUUUUUUUUUGGAAAGGAAUGCUGCUAUAAAAAACGGAGGCGGAAUUACAGUUCAGUUCAAGUAUAAUGCAGGAUAGCUGCCGCUAACAAAAUUCACACAAUUUUCGUAUAGAAACAACAGCAGCAGUACGGCUUUUAGAGGGCCCUCUCCUCUCUUCUAUUACUUGUUGGAGUUCCCCUGUCUCCCAUCUUCUUUUCAAGUCCCACGCUUUCCCCGGUUAACAACGGCGGACCCUCUUUUUUUAAAUGAAAUAGAGUCCCAAAAAGGAAACAGAACAAUUUCAUAUCAAAGAGUUGAAUGGCAACCCGAAUGAGCCCACUUGAGCAAUUUUCCAUUCACCCAUUAAUUCUUAUGAAGAUUGGCAACUUUUAUUUCUCAUUCACAAAUCCAUCCUUGUCUAUGCUGCUCACUCUCGGUUUGGUCCUCAUUCCGAUUUUUGUUUUCGNNNNNNNNNNNNNNNNNNNNNNNNNNNNNNNNNNNNNNNNNNNNNNNNNNNNNNNNNNNNNNNNNNNNNNNNNNNNNNNNNNNNNNNNNNNNNNNNNNNNNNNNNNNNNNNNNNNNNNNNNNNNNNNNNNNNNNNNNNNNNNNNNNNNNNNNNNNNNNNNNNNNNNNNNNNNNNNNNNNNNNNNNNNNNNNNNNNNNNNNNNNNNNNNNNNNNNNNNNNNNNNNNNNNNNNNNNNNNNNNNNNNNNNNNNNNNNNNNNNNNNNNNNNNNNNNNNNNNNNNNNNNNNNNNNNNNNNNNNNNNNNNNNNNNNNNNNNNNNNNNNNNNNNNNNNNNNNNNNNNNNCAUUUUUUUGUUGUUUUUGCUUAGGGAUGUCAAACCGUUAGCGGCGUUCAGAACCAGCCGUCGAAUCUUUGAUCUUCUCAAAGAUCACAAGGUGCUGAAGUGGCUGGAGGGGGAGGGGGGGGUCCUAGGUUUUUGUGAAAGGGAUGCUCUUAUCAUGCAUCUUAUUGCUGAUAUGAUAAGAAAAACCUAAUUCCUCUAUUUUAUUUGAUGUCGAUUCAUCCACACUUCCAUUCCUUGUAGAGGAAAGCUAAAUGCUUGCUGGCUGGGAGCUGUAUGAGCGGUAACGUCCACGUACGGCUCCGUGAGAAGGUGGGCGGAAAUAGCCGCCCUCCUUGUUGUACCUCACUCCCGUCUUCAAUGGGGUCUGCUCUUUUUUUUUUGGGAGAGUAUGCCAAUAUGAUCUUAAUGAGGUGCGGGGCUUUGCAUCUGACAUUCGUUGGGCUUCCCUCUGCGGGAGCCAGCGUCCCGGCGUUUUUGUGCAAUAAACUCCUCCGGCCGAAGACUAGUGAUAGGUGGUCCCGCGGAGCUUUCGGAGAAGGGUAGCCUAGUGUGUAAGCACAGCAAUGAACCGCGGCGAACCCUCAGACGACCCAUCUAAGAUUAGGGGGGAGAUCCUUAGUAGUGGUGACCCUUUGACUCUUCCACGGACUUAUACAUGUACCGAAUGCUCAUACGGGAAAGUGAACUCCUGGGUCUGGAACCAGGGGGGUUGCUCCGAGAAAUCCUUUCUUUCUCGUCCACUCCAGGGGGUGCGGACACACCUGCGCGGAUUACAGGUGACGGUUACAAGAAUGGCGGGGAAGUGAAGAGUACCCGACGGCAUUCAGGGAUGAAUGUAGACCCAUCGGGCAGGGAUAAUCAUUCCGGUCCUGGGAGAGGUGGCGACACCAGUCUGAGCUGAGGGAAGCCCUAUGAGUCACUGAAACGACCGCAGGAGGCGCACCCUAAGCCCAGCUUCUCGGAGCUGCUAUUGCGAAAUACCGCUUACCCUUAAUACUAUAAGCAACAGGGGGGCUGGGCUGCUCGCCUUCAUAGAAAGGCGACCGGGCCUAGAUUAGAUGUUCGCCUUUUUUUAGAAUAGAAGGAGAAGGUAAAGGAAGGGGGGUUUGGAGAUUCUUGAAAGAAUGCAUGGCUUCUUCCUAUUCCGCUUCAACACAGAAGAAGAUUGUUACAAGGUGCUGGAAGGAGGGCCGUGGCUUAUAGAAGGAAGAGUGAUGAUUUUGAGAAAGUUGCAAAGGGGGAUGGAUGCGCGCAAAGACCUUUUGGAGAUGGUUCCUCUUUGGGGUAGUUUUACUCAGCUGGGACUUCACCUGUGGUCUCAAAGGAUGAUCAGUCGGAUAGCGAGUACCAUUGGGAAGCCGUUAUAUAUUUAUCAACCUACGACAAGUAAAUCAAGGCUCGCCUAUACGCGGGUUUGUAUUGAAGUGAAUCCUCACAACUAGUUGUGUGUGGAUUGAAUCGGGCAAUGGUGGCAUGGAAGAACAGGUGGUUGAGAAUGGGUGCCCAUGGUGUGCUCUAACUGCAAGGCAGUUGGUCAUAGGGUCGAAGCUUGCCCUGUUCAGGAGCUGAAAGUUACUACAAUGUGGGUGGAGAGACAGAAGGUGCUUGUGGUAAUUCCAAAGAGACUGGGGAAAAUGCUGAAGCUUGCCAUGACAAGGAAACUGAUCAAGAGAAUGAAGGGGGAGCAGCUGAGGAGGAAAAAAGAAAUCUGGGCGGGAAUUACAUAAAAAAAAAGUCACUGCAAAUAAGUUUGCAGUGCUCGGGGAUGACCAGGACGAGGGCCGAGAUAUAGAUUUUUUGAUUCCAAAUGCAGAUCAAGGUAGCAGCCAGGAGACUCCACCAAGUGUUCGACAGGUUGCUCCUGUGAGCAGUAACAAGAAAAAAGGAAAAAAGAUUGUGAGGUCUGUUGAGAAUAGCAGUCAAAAGUCUUUGGCUAAACUAGUGAUGGAAAAAUUCUUUAUGAAGAUAACUCCUACAAGACCAAUGUUACUGGAGCGGAAAUUUCUGAGGGGACGUCAAUGUCUCCUACUAUUGUAGCUGAUGGAAAUGCUGACGGAAAGGCUUCGGCUGAUAGGAUCUUUGUUGAAGAUUCAGGGGGACAUGAAGAUCUACCAACCGAGAUUGCUGUGCCUAAUGAAGAAUGGGAGAACCUCCUGCAGCAAGAUAAAAAGAGGAGUGGUGAGGAAAGCAAGAAGAAAGGUAAGACCUGAAGCAAAACUGAAAGCAUUCGGACAAGAGCCAUGAUGGAGUCCCUUGGUAGAAAGGGGAGUAAUUCUACCAACCUUCCGGAUUCUCAAUGAAGUGCGUUAUCUGGAAUGUCCGUGGAAUGAAUAAAAGAAGUAGACAUAGGGUAAUAAUAUCUCUUAUCAGAUCUCAGAAAGUGGACUUGGUGGGUUUUGUUGAAACAAAAGUCAAGGAAAACAAGUGUUGUAGGGUUGCUAAGAAAUUCUGGAAGGAUUGUAGCUAUCUUUUCAAUUAUAGUAGCAGCCCGAGAGGUAGAGUUUGGCUGCUUUGGGAUCCCCAUAUCUGGAAUGUAUCUAAAGUCCUGGAAUCCGAAGAGAUGUUAACUUGUUUUUUUAGCCAACAAUUGGGAUGGAUGUGAAUCUUUCUGUGGUGUAUGGAUCUAAUAGUGCAUCUGUCAGGAAGGAAUUGUGGAGGGAGCUCAUGAGAAUCAGUCAAGUUGUACAAGGCCCCUGGUUAGUGGCGGGUGAUUUCAACACUGUGAAAGAGGUAUAUAAAAAUUUGGUGGGAGAGACCUCUAUGUUCCUCAGCUUAAAUCAUUCAAUGAUUGUUUACAAUUCUGUCAUCUAUUUGACAUGAGGGCUACAGGACUUGGUCUUGGAGCAAGAAAAGUGUUGAGUCCAGGCGCAUUAUGGUACGACUGAGACUGAGUUGGAAAGGAGCAAGUGGUUGGAUUGGCCUGACUCUUCAAGACCAAAGAGACUCGGCUUCCUCUUCAUCAAGUCACGAAAUAAGACCCUUAGUUAGCUGCACCGAAACAAGAGUAGGGCCAAGCAAGGCCUAGGAUCCAUCUCUCUUCUAGUCUAGCUUCCGCUUACACUGAUGCUUCCACUCCCAUAUGGGCAAGAGCUCCUUCUCUUUUUGCCAAAGACUCGCCUUUCUUCUUUUGGGAUAUGAAGACUUAAGCAUUCGGACUGAGAUGAAUAGCCCAUCCUAUAGUGAGCUGCUGAAAGACGUGCAGUUAGCCAACGCGAGUCAUCAGUAUGCAGGGAAUAGGGUAGGUUAGCAUAUAUAAAGUGAGAUUGAAGCAAGAAGAUCUCUUCCUUCCCCUUCCUAUGCAAGCCUUCUUAGCUAAUGGAGACAGAACGGAGUCAUUGGCUUUCCCUAUAGAGCGAUAGACAGAACCAAGGCGAAUCUCUCUGUUAGGCAUGAUGACAGUCUACGUCAUGUUGACUUUUGCUGGAAAGCAUCCACUCGGCCUGAUUCCCCAGUCUAGACCGCUACCACUGAUGGCAGACUAAUCCCUCAAUAUGAAAACAAUCAAGAAGCGAGGACAGAGUCUUUGAUCUCUGUUUUCGAACCCGAGACCUUUUGCUCAACCGUGAAAGGAGAGUUUGACCAUUCCCAAGAGAAAUACCAAUCUAUCAUCCCAUUUUUUCAAGACAUAGUCUGGUUCACCAAAGAGCCUUAUCCUAAGUCACUGCCUCGUCAACCUGACUUCCAUCUCCUGACAUCGGUACUUGUUUUCUGGUCCAGGAAAAGCAGACAGGGUAGUUCAACCAGAGCUUUCAGGCAAGCAAGUACGGUCAACAAUGAUCUCGGUGAGAAUAGUCAGAGCAUUGGGGUAAGCAGCAGUGAGUAGCUAUCGCAGUCAACUAGCAUAGGCGAAAGACAAAGAAGUUGGAAGUGGAUCAGUAGUUUGGUAGCCCGAACAGUUGGGAAGGCAUCCACUAUCAACGAGGAGAAGAGGUCUCAUGUCACUGCUCACUCUUGAAUUGGUUCACUGGUUCCUUGAAAGAAGUGAACUAGUUUGCCUUCGACGGACCCAAAACAUGUCAAAGACCACACUUGCCAAUAGAUUCUGUCGGAGCAAAACGAAGAGGUCGAACGAGAUGAGCUGACCGAGCAGCCAAAACCAUCCAACGGGUUCCGGAAUCGGAGCUGUAGUAGGAGCUUGAGUAGAAGGAGUCAAAGGAGCAGGUCUUGCUUUAUAGAGUAGGGGCCUUAAUUUCUUCCCAUAUAUGAGAUAUUCCCGUACCAGUGGUCUUGCCUUUGCGUCUUUCCCGUACCCCUUUGAUGAAUUUUCUUUUUUUUUGGAGGUACCAGUUUCCAUUUCAAUGCUCGCCUAUUCCGCGUCAUCUUUGUCGAUUGCAGUUUUUUUUGGUUUCGUAUGCCGGUUGUGCCUAGCUGACAGGCAGGUAUGAGACGAAAGUAGAGGUACGGGACGGGGAAUCAAGGUAUAGGUGCGGGUGAAAGUCAAAUACGAACGAAUGGGCUUUCAAGUAUGAAAGUCGAGGGGCAAGAGUCGCUCGGUCAUCGGUGAAGAAAGCGAUGGGCGGUCAAGUCGAAGGUCCAGAGUCAACUCACGUGGCAAGCUCCUUCCUAAUAAGGUUACUACAUCAGCACCAGCAGCUGACUGGCCUUUGCCUGACAGACAAGAGGAGAUGCCGCUUCCUUUUUAGCCUAUUAGGCUAUUUAUGAAAAGCUUGCUUGCUUGUCUUCCCACCUGUUGACUAUAUAUUGCCUUCUGCCGAUGGCAACUUCAGUAGAUUGUUACACUCGUGCUUGGGAAAAGACCGACCUAUGAAAAUUUCCAUCUUUCCUUGAGGAAGCGAAGACCCCAACUAGGCUUGUUGAUGAUACUUUUUAUGGUCAAAAAUACCUUUAUAGCAAACUCUAUAUAAAGGAAAGCAAACCAUAUAUAGCUUAUUCAAAGAAUAGUAAACCAUUACUUAUGUUAUCACCCAACACUUGCUCGGACCACUUUCCUCUGCUCAUCUCCAUUGAAGAGAGUUUUCCUAGACAUCCCAGCCCUUUCCUUCUGGCAAUGUGGACUUUGCAUGACAGCUUUAUGGAUGUGGUGAAAGAAUCCUUGAGUGAAUCUUGUCUUAUCCUCUUUCAUUUCAUCUUUUUCAAAAGAAAUGAAAGGCAUUCUCCGGCCAUGGAAUAGGGAGGUUUUUGGUGACUUGUUUCAGAACAUCAGGCGAGCUGAGGAUGAGGUUCUGAAAUCUCAAGUUGGGCUAGAACUAUCUUGGACUUCUGACAAAAAGACUGCCCUUGACUUAGCAAAUCAGAACCUAGAUAAAGCUUUUCUUCAAGAAUCAAUCUUCGCAGAAAUUCUCGUGUUAAGUGGCUAAAAGAGGGCUUUCAAAUAAACCAUUUUUCCAUGCUUCCACUAAAGAACGAAAGAGGAAAAAUACUCUUCGUGGGAUCUUCAACUCCCAAGGGUCUUGGAUCGAGAACCCUGUGGACAUGGGGAAGGAAGCUGAAAAUUUCUUUAAACACUUGCUCUCCACUGAAGGUUCAAUCUUUUUUGAAAGUAUCCUCAAUGUCAUCCCCAACUUAGUCACUGCUUCGGACAAGACUAUGCUUAACCGAAUUCCAUCUUUGGAGGAAAGAAAAGAAAGAGUCUUCCAGAUGUCCCCUGACAGUACGCCUGGACCUGACGGGUACGAAGGUAGCUUUUAUCAGUCGUGUUGGGAGAUUAUUCAGGAGGACCUCGUCCCUGCUGUGCAGUUCUUUUUCCGUGAAGGUUCGGUUCCGAAAUCGAUUAAUGAAACCUGGAUUGCUUUUAUUCCCAAAGUUUUUCACCCUACCUCCUUUCAUCAUUUUCGUCCUAUUAGUCUUUGUUAUUUCUUAUAUAAGAUAAGAUCCUGACGAAAAUGAUUGCUAAUCGCCUGGCUUUGCUUCUGCCUAAAUUUAUAUCUGAGGAACAAGGCGCCUUUCUUCAAGGAAGGCAAAUUCUGGACGGAGUCCUAAUAGCAAACGAGUGCAUUGACUCAAGAAUUAGAAAGGCGGGGGGAGGGGCUGGGAAGGAAGGGGGGACCUUUCUUUUUGCUUCGCGCCAGAUGAGAUGAUGAUUAGUGGGUCAGGUCCAGUUGCUCUUUAUCACAAUCACUAAAGGGGCGGGCUGGCUGGGCUGCCUUUUCAAUCAAUCUCCGGCCGCUCAGUGCCGCUAUUGGUGCAAGUUGUAAGGAGUCUUGGUCUCGAGUCGAGCUGGGGCGUCAUUUCAUUCUCGUAACGGGAGUGAGUGCACCGCAAGACCAGACAAGUUGCUCCCUCGUCUCGCAGCGGCGGCAUCUGUCUUUUAAGUUAAGUCAUUUCCUAAGACGGCUCCUCUUAUUCUACGAUAAUCCAAGCUGCAGCUCCACGAGUCUGCUCGGAACCAGUCGAUUCCUGAGCCAUUCUCCCCUCUCGGUUGGCCUUUGCCAGCCACUAGAGCAAGUAAGAGAACCUACAGUGAAUGAACUUAAAGAACCGCAGAUUUUUACCGGAUUGUACACCUUUGUGUCUGGCUAUGUAUAUGGAUGUGCAUAAAAUAAAGAAGGGACGGGACAUCUCUUUCCUUUUUUUGGGGGGGAAGAGAGAGGGAAGAAGCUGCAGCGGCACCUCACGAACUUCUUACUGGGGCAGCACCAUCCUAUAGGCAUUUUUGCGAGUGUUUGGAUGCACGUGUUUUGUUCAUAUUCCUGCGCAGUUAAGAGAGAAAUUGUCCCCAAGGCAACCACUUGUGUCUUUCUUGGAUAUGCCCAGUCCGGGUAUAGAUGCUAUGACGUGAAAUCCAAGAGACUCGAUGUAUCCUUGAAUGUUCUCUUUAAUGAGGUCGCCUCAUAUUUUCCUUAACCUAAUUAAUCAGCCCCGGGGGAGAAUGGUGAUGGAGAUGUAUUGCGGCCUUCUCCUGUUCAUCAACUCGAACCUCAUUCUUCUGCAGUUGAUGUUACGGAUCAGCCUCACUCUUCAGGCCAGCAGCUUUGCCCAGCAUCUUCUGCCGAUUGUCAGCCUGUUCAGCUGACCCCAGAGGAUUCCAGCACAGCAUGUUUAUUCUCGGCGGCGAUCACCGUCGCCAAGAAUGGCAUAGUCGCAAAGCUUCGUCGUGCCAUACACCCUCUCAGCAGCUAUCCACACAAGCAUAUGAUGUGUAAGUGUGAAUAGAGGCCAAGAACUCAAAAAUCCGAGGGGUUGACCCUUCGUAAACGUCACAACCGAUGACCUAUAGCCUUGAUUAUCUAAACUAUAUGGUAAUUGAAAGACUACAGAACAAAGUAUGAACGUCCAGGAAGUUGCAAAGGGAUUUCCGAACAACCCUGCAAUCAUACAGGACGUCAGGAUAACAGGUAAGGAAUCGGUAGCAGCCUUGAGAUCAAAAGAGAAUCAUUUUCUCUUUCCUCUAAAGUACUGCAACGGUUGGGUCUGGUUAUAGGUACCAUCCAUUCAAGACCUUGCCAAAACCGUCAUGGCCCAAUCAUGUAUAGGCCGUACCAAGGCCUGAUACAAGGGUGAGCCAAUAGCGAAUAACCUUUUCUUCCCUGCUCCCUCGACCUUCAUUCCCAUCCUGCCAAGCUGAGGCUGCCAGCGCAUUGUAUCUAACCACACUGUGGCAAAUCGAUACAAGUAGCUAAACAGCUUGCUAUACCAUACAAAGGCAUCUCCGGCCGAACGGUUAGGCAACACUACGGCGCCUGGGUAAACAUCCCGUUUACCAAACAAGACGUCGAGAGUGUCACUUAACCAUUCCCCUCCAGCAGCCAAAGUGAUAGCGGCUGUAGCAUCCACCGGUAAUGUGUGGAAGAGGGUAAGCUUUCUAUGUGGAUAGGACGUAUCAACACCUUUUGCAUCUUUUAAAGGAAAUAUCUAAGAAUAAUAUUGUGUUGGGUCCUGAGGACCAGGAUGGCCUCAGAUCAAAACCUAAAUGUGCCAGGGGUUGAUCAUCGAAGCCAGGGCAAUAACGAUGAAGGAAUUUGAGCGCUGAUGUAGCUAACAGCCACCUUCAUAGUCGAUUCAUUAGGGUCGUCACCUUCUACCCAAUGGAAGUAUCCACCGUUUUCUUUGUCUGUUAAGCCUCACAGCGUUGGGACUUCCUAAAGAACAAUCGCAGUUUAUCAACCACUCACAAGACCACCGAGAUCUUCGACUUAGCUCCCAAAGGUCAUCCACCCGGCCCUUCCCCAACCUAUACAAGGGGAGCGGAAGAUAAC
Molecule: long non-coding RNA, 24437 nt
Filed under: Elaeis guineensis (African oil palm)
Lineage: Eukaryota; Viridiplantae; Streptophyta; Magnoliopsida; Arecales; Arecaceae
Description: long non-coding RNA (EGUI_LNC042174)
Source: RNAcentral